GGAUAAGCGGUGGAAACGCCGUCUAAUACCGGAUACGACCCGCCACCUCAUGGUGGAGGGUGGAAAGUUUUUCGGUCAGGGAUGGGCUCGCGGCCUAUCAGCUUGUUGGUGGGGUAACGGCCUACCAAGGCGAUUACGGGUAGCCGGCCUGAGAGGGCGACCGGCCACACUGGGACUGAGACACGGCCCAGACUCCUGCGGGAGGCAGCAGUGGGGAAUAUUGCGCAAUGGGCGAAAGCCUGACGCAGCGACGCCGCGUGGGGGAUGACGGCCUUCGGGUUGUAAACCUCUUUUACCACCAACGCAGGCUCGGAGUUUUCUUCGGGUUGACGGUAGGUGGGGAAUAAGGACCGGCUAACUACGUGCCAGCAGCCGCGGUAAUACGUAGGGUCCGAGCGUUGUCCGGAAUUAUUGGGCGUAAAGAGCUCGUAGGCGGCGUGUCGCGUCUGCUGUGAAAGACCGGGGCUUAACUCCGGUUCUGCAGUGGAUACGGGCAUGCUAGAGGUAGGUAGGGGAGACUGGAAUUCCUGGUGUAGCGGUGAAAUGCGCAGAUAUCAGGAGGAACACCGGUGGCGAAGGCGGGUCUCUGGGCCUUACCUGACGCUGAGGAGCGAAAGCAUGGGGAGCGAACAGGAUUAGAUACCCUGGUAGUCCAUGCCGUAAACGUUGGGCGCUAGGUGUGGGGACUUUCCACGGUUUCCGCGCCGUAGCUAACGCAUUAAGCGCCCCGCCUGGGGAGUACGGCCGCAAGGCUAAAACUCAAAGGAAUUGACGGGGGCCCGCACAAGCGGCGGAGCAUGUUGCUUAAUUCGACGCAACGCGAAGAACCUUACCAAGGUUUGACAUCACCCGUGGACUCGCAGAGAUGUGAGGUCAUUUAGUUGGCGGGUGACAGGUGGUGCAUGGCUGUCGUCAGCUCGUGUCGUGAGAUGUUGGGUUAAGUCCCGCAACGAGCGCAACCCUUGUUCCAUGUUGCCAGCACGUAAUGGUGGGGACUCAUGGGAGACUGCCGGGGUCAACUCGGAGGAAGGUGGGGAUGACGUCAAGUCAUCAUGCCCCUUAUGUCUUGGGCUGCAAACAUGCUACAAUGGCCGGUACAAUGGGCGUGCGAUACCGUAAGGUGGAGCGAAUCCCUAAAAGCCGGUCUCAGUUCGGAUUGGGGUCUGCAACUCGACCCCAUGAAGGUGGAGUCGCUAGUAAUCGCGGAUCAGCAACGCCGCGGUGAAUACGUUCCCGGGCCUUGUACACACCGCCCGUCACGUCAUGAAA
RNAcentral lists this ribosomal RNA (1269 nucleotides) under Nocardiopsis dassonvillei. RNAcentral describes it as "bacterial SSU rRNA". It matches the Rfam family "Bacterial small subunit ribosomal RNA", at positions 141 to 1409 of the family's 1533-position model. The record is from RNAcentral. Lineage: Bacteria; Bacillati; Actinomycetota; Actinomycetes; Streptosporangiales; Nocardiopsidaceae.